This is a long non-coding RNA of Triticum dicoccoides, 2059 nucleotides long. RefSeq lists it as uncharacterized. The record is from RefSeq and is a predicted model, not a curated record. Lineage: Eukaryota; Viridiplantae; Streptophyta; Magnoliopsida; Poales; Poaceae. The transcript has 3 exons.
UCGAAGCCACCGCAUACCACGCCGCAAGUCGCCUCAUGCCGCCACCGCUUGCCCCUUUCUCUGUAUAUAGGUCGCCAACGCAACCCUGGGCCCCAGGAUCGUUCCCUCCUCCCAACCAGGCUCGAGGAGGCGGCCAUGAGGAGCGCGCAGCCGCCGCAAUCCUGGGCAGAUCUAGCCGGGGUCGUCGGCAGCCAUCCCUCCCUCCGGGCGGCCAUGAAGAAUUGAAGCGGCUUGCGCAGAACUAGCGCAUGGACCAUGCGCGCCUCCCGCGCUAGGAGCCACCGGUCCUCGUCAUCCGCUAGCAUCCACGAGGAAUCGAUCCAUAUGUAAUGGCCGUUGACGAGGAUGUGAGGUGGGCGACUGCACAGGGCCCCCAAAAAUUAGGGGGCUUCAAAUCCUGUAUAUGUGUUCUUCAUCGCCAUGGAUCUGAGAGUGCCCGAACUGCUUGUUUUUGUUGGAGAAGAGAGAACAUGAAGAAGAGGGACCUAGGUCGUGGGCCCCUUUGGCGAAGGGGUAAGUGCCUACUGCAGGUCUGGUCCAACCAGUUGUACUUGUGCGAUUCAGCCACUUCUUCAAGGAGCCACAAAAAACCAGUCAGUACACCUGAUCGAAAUACGAGAGGGGAAAGCCCUAGAUGGACGACGUGGUCAUGGCUGACGGCCGCACCGAUACGAGCGGCAUCCUUGGUUCCUCUGUGUGUCCUAGGGCGGUGAGGCCCAUGAUCUCGUCCAUGGAGCACUGUAGCAUCAUUGUUGUGCCUCUGCUAUCAUCCGUCGCCAGAACAAGCAGACAUGUACGUUUCCCUUGCCUGACGCAUUCCCAUAGUCAAUGUGAGUAUUUUGUUCAUAUUGACAUCACCACAUGGCUAUUUCUAAUUUCCAUGUUCCUCUUUUGUAUGAUUGGGAAUUCCUUCUGUCAUGUUUAUUUGUUGCCCAUCUCAUGGCUGGAAUCGUUCCUAAUUAGAGGCUCUUUUCUUGAGUUGGUCAGUACUAGAAGGCACUAACAUGCUAAUUGAGACAAGCAUGGAAAAUAACUUGUACAGUCAAUGUUGUACUAGACCACUACAUUAGAACAGAUGCAUUAUUUUAGUUUAAUUUCCAAUACAACUUGCCCCAAACAGCUACUCCUAGUUAGAUUUGGAGUAUAUAUGCAGAGUUAGAUUUGAAUGAAACUAGCUACUUCUGUCAAUGUCAGAACUUUAAGUUUUAGGUAUAUAUGUUAUUCCUAAUAUGCUUGCUUCCCCUUAUAAUUUCAGUCAUUUUGGCUACUUAGAUGUUGGUUUAAUUUGAUUAUGUGGCAUGUAGUUCAUUUGUUGUUAGCCACAGUCCAGGGGCCUCAAUUUUCUGGAGAUCGCCUGGGUUCUUUGCAGGGUUCUGAUGAUAUUUCCAAGGAAAUAUACUGAUCCUGAUGUGAAAAAACUGCCCAUUUUUUCCUUUCUUAAACAUUUUUACUCUGUUUUUUGUUCUUCCUAGUUCCAGCUUCACAUUGCUGGUGUUUCAUGCCAUAUUCAUCAGAUCCUGCUUACAUGCCUUAUCAUUAACUUGAUUAGUAUUUCUGCCACUGUCCAACUGGUUCUUAAAGGUACUAAAUCCAGAUUGAAGAGCAAACUCUAUUUGCAGGUGCCAACGAAGAGGAUUGACAAAUAAGAUAGUAGUCCAAACUUGCAAAAUACCUUUUUCAGAGAUCUAGUCCUAAUAAGACUCCAGGUGCAAGGCUAACUGUUAUUUCUUCAAGUGCGCUCUAAUUGUUAUUUCUUCAAGUGCGCUCAUACAAGCUGAACAAGGAAUUCUCAAAUGUUUAAAGCAAUUGAUCCAAAGAUCUAGCUCGACUGGACAGUUAGUCUUGGCCUUAAUUAGGAUGGCCAAAUUACAUUUGAGUAUCAUUUGAUGGAUAUUUGCUAUGAGAAUUAUGAAUUUUAUGAAUCUAUAUAUUAUAUGUAUGGUUUUGAAUAUUGUAAUUGAAUGCAUGUAUUUUUUUUAUGGUUGCAAUAGGCUAUUACCACAAUCCACUUUCGGUUGCCACAUGUUAGCAUCACGAAAAGUUUAAAUUGUCGCAAUAG